AGAGUUUGAUCAUGGCUCAGAUUGAACGCUGGCGGCAUGCUUAAUACAUGCAAGUCGAACGGUAACAUGCCCUCCGGGGUGAUGACGAGUGGCGGACGGGUGAGUAACGCAUAGGAAUCUACCUAGUAGUGGGGGACAACUUGGGGAAACUCAAGCUAAUACCGCAUACAUCCUACGGGAAAAAGAGGGCCUCUUCUUGAAAGCUCUUGCUAUUAGAUGAGCCUAUGUCAGAUUAGCUUGUUGGUGGGGUAACGGCCUACCAAGGCGACGAUCUGUAGCUGGUCUGAGAGGAUGAUCAGCCACACUGGGACUGAGACACGGCCCAGACUCCUACGGGAGGCAGCAGUAGGGAAUAUUGGACAAUGGGCGCAAGCCUGAUCCAGCAAUGCCGCGUGUGUGAAGAAGGCCUGCGGGUUGUAAAGCACUUUCCAUUAGGAAGAAAAGCUCAAGGUUAAUAACCUUGAGUCUUGACAUUAUCAAUAGAAGAAGCACCGGCUAACUCUGUGCCAGCAGCCGCGGUAAUACAGAGGGU
Molecule: ribosomal RNA, 532 nt
Filed under: uncultured bacterium
Lineage: Bacteria
Description: bacterial SSU rRNA
Rfam family: Bacterial small subunit ribosomal RNA
Source: RNAcentral